This 440-nucleotide ribosomal RNA is filed under the name uncultured bacterium. RNAcentral's name for it is "partial 16S ribosomal RNA". It matches the Rfam family "Bacterial small subunit ribosomal RNA", at positions 338 to 795 of the family's 1533-position model. The record is from RNAcentral.
CCUACGGUGGGCAGCAGUGGGGAAUAUUGCACAAUGGGGGAAACCCUGAUGCAGCGACGCCGCGUGAGCGAAGAAGUAUUUCGGUAUGUAAAGCUCUAUCAGCAGGGAAGAAAAUGACGGUAACUGAGUAAGAAGCUCCGGCUAAAUACGUGCCAGCAGCCGCGGUAAUACGUAUGGAGCAAGCGUUAUCCGGAUUUACUGGGUGGAAAGGGAGCGCAGGCGGCCUUGCAAGUCUGAUGUGAAAUACCGGGGCUCAACCCCGGAGCUGCAUUGGAAACUGUGAGGCUGGAGUGUCGGAGAGGCAGGCGGAAUUCCUAGUGUAGCGGUGAAAUGCGUAGAUAUUAGGAGGAACACCAGUGGCGAAGGCGGCCUGCUGGACGAUGACUGACGCUGAGGCUCGAAAGCGUGGGGAGCAAACAGGAUUAGAUACCCUUGUAGUC